This 205-nucleotide long non-coding RNA is filed under the name Crocodylus porosus (Australian saltwater crocodile). Its description in RNAcentral is "lncRNA (ENSCPRG00005003984.1)". Lineage: Eukaryota; Metazoa; Chordata; Crocodylia; Crocodylidae. The record is from RNAcentral.
CGUUCAGAGACCUAGUGGCCCAUAAUGACUGUCAGAGUAACUUCAGUGAGGAUAAUUAAAGCACAGCAUAUUUUGUCCAUAUCCCUGAUUCCUCCUUGUUACCUUAUUCUCAGGAUACUGGAAGCUGUCAGACGGUGGAGGCUGGGUAUAAAGCUGCUCCUGUUGCUAUCUACUACACAUCAUGAUGGAUAAACUGAGAAUGCAA